AUUGAACGCUGGCGGCAGGCCUAACACAUGCAAGUCGAACGGCAGCGGGGGAUAGCUUGCUAUCCCGCCGGCGAGUGGCGGACGGGUGAGUAAUGCCUGGGGAGCUGCCCCAAUCGAGGGGGAUACCAGUUGGAAACGACUGCUAAUACCGCAUACGCCUCGAGGGGGAAAGAUGGGGAUCUUCGGACCUAUCGCGAUUGGAUGCACCCAGGUGGGAUUAGCUAGUUGGUGAGGUAACGGCUCACCAAGGCGACGAUCUCUAGCUGGUCUGAGAGGAUGACCAGCCACACUGGAACUGAGACACGGUCCAGACUCCUACGGGAGGCAGCAGUGGGGAAUAUUGCACAAUGGGGGAAACCCUGAUGCAGCCAUGCCGCGUGUGUGAAGAAGGCC
Molecule: ribosomal RNA, 393 nt
Filed under: uncultured bacterium
Lineage: Bacteria
Description: bacterial SSU rRNA
Rfam family: Bacterial small subunit ribosomal RNA
Source: RNAcentral